Molecule: long non-coding RNA, 186 nt
Organism: Bufo bufo (common toad)
Lineage: Eukaryota; Metazoa; Chordata; Amphibia; Anura; Bufonidae
Exons: 3
Source: RefSeq, a predicted model, not a curated record
CUUGGCUCAGUACUGCCCCCAAUCCAAACAAAGAAGCGUCUGUGUGGACGAGAGAGAAAGUGUUUAGUUGGAUCAGGGGCGGCAAGUACAGGUGAAUUCACAAGAGACGUUUUUAGUUGCUGGAAUGCCUGCUCACACUCUGGGGUCCAGACUACUAUCUUAGGGAGAUUCUUGCGGGUCAAAUCG